Molecule: non-coding RNA, 413 nt
Filed under: Triticum aestivum (bread wheat)
Lineage: Eukaryota; Viridiplantae; Streptophyta; Magnoliopsida; Poales; Poaceae
Description: Bacterial large subunit ribosomal RNA
Rfam family: Bacterial large subunit ribosomal RNA
Source: Rfam by way of RNAcentral
UAUCCACUUCAUCGGUUUCGGUCGGUCACUCUGAAACCCUCUUGCUCUAGGCAAACUCUGAAUACCAGAUAUGACCCAAAAAUAACAGGGGUCAAGGUUGGCCAGUGAGACGAUGGGGGAUAAGCUUCAUCGUCGAGAGGGAAACAGCCCGGAUCACCAACUAAGGCCCCUAAAUGACCGCUCAGUGAUAAAGGAAGUGGGGGUGCAAAGACCUCAAGGAGGUUUGCCUAGAAGCAGCCACCCUUUAAAGAGUGCGUAAUAGCUCACUGGUCCCUAAUCGAGCGCCCUUGCGCUGAAGAUGAAUGGGGCUAAGUGAUCUGCCGAAGCUGUGGGAUGUCAAAAUGCAUCGGUAGGGGAGCGUUCUGCCUUAGAUGGAAGCAACCGCGAAAGCAGGGGUCGACGAAGCGGAAACG